Molecule: non-coding RNA, 75 nt
Organism: Cordylochernes scorpioides
Lineage: Eukaryota; Metazoa; Arthropoda; Arachnida; Pseudoscorpiones; Chernetidae
Source: the annotation of a GenBank genome assembly
GUCCAGGAUAGCCUAGUGGACAUGGCAUCUGCCCGGUAAGCGGAAGGUCGUGGGUUCGAUUCCCGCCCCUGGACA